This 343-nucleotide RNase P RNA is filed under the name Flavobacterium enshiense DK69. RNAcentral's name for it is "Flavobacterium sp. DK69 Bacterial RNase P class A". It matches the Rfam family "Bacterial RNase P class A". From Rfam's summary of the family: Ribonuclease P (RNase P) is a ubiquitous endoribonuclease, found in archaea, bacteria and eukarya as well as chloroplasts and mitochondria. Its best characterised activity is the generation of mature 5'-ends of tRNAs by cleaving the 5'-leader elements of precursor-tRNAs. The record is from Rfam by way of RNAcentral. Lineage: Bacteria; Pseudomonadati; Bacteroidota; Flavobacteriia; Flavobacteriales; Flavobacteriaceae.
ACCGCAGACCGCCUUAUCGUCGUUCCGAUGAAUAAUCGGGAGGGAGGAAAGUCCGGACACCAUAGAGCAGCAUAGCGGGUAACGCCCGUCCGUUUCGUCUUUUGGGACGAGAUGAGGACAAGUGCAACAGAAAGUAUGUACAGGUAAUGCUGUAGUGAAACCAGGUAAACUCUAUGCGGUGAAAUGCCAAGUAUAUCAGCAGCUUCCGGUUCGCCGGAAUAAGGGCGGCUCGUCCGAUGCUGAAGGGUAGGCAGAUUGAUCUUGUUGGCAACAACUAGACUAGAUAAAUGAUAAGGGUCAACUUCGGUUGAUACAGAAUCCGGCUUACAGGUCUGCUUUUUUU